UGAGCGUCGUAUAAGGGGUGAAGUCAGAGCGUAAGCGCUGGUGGACUUUAUACGAGUGAGAAUGCCGGAAUGAGUAGCGAGAAAUAUGUGAGAAUCAUAUUGGCCGAAAAUCUAAGGUUUUUGGAGGAAGGUUCGUCCGCUCCAAGUAAGCCGGGAGCUAAGGUGAGGCCGAAAGGCGUAGCCGAUGCACAUACGGUAGAUAUUCCGUAGCCGCCAAAAGAUUUAAGUAAGAGGACACCUUGAAAGGACUUGACCCGGGCGAUGGUUGCCCCGGGCGAAAGGGACCGAAAUUUAGUAGGGAAGCAAGUUUGGACGAGGGCGAGAAAAGUCUUAUGUAUAUCUUCGGCGCCCGUACCGCAAACCGACACAGGUAGAUAGGAAGAGAAUUCUAAGGCCAACGGGAGAAGGGUAGUUAAGGAACUCGGCAAAUUGACCCCGUAACUUAGGAAUACGGGGUGCCACAGCGAUGUGGUCGCAGAGAAUAGGCCCAGGCAACUGUUUAUCAAAAACACAGGUCUCUGCCAAAUCGAAAGAUGAAGUAUAGGGGCUGACACCUGCCCGGUGCUGGAAGGUUAAGAGGAGAUGUGCAAGCAUUGAAUUGAAGCCCCAGUAAACGGCGGCCGUAACAAUAACGGUCCUAAGGUAGCGAAAUUCCUUGUCGGGUAAGUUCCGACCCGCACGAAUGGUGUAAUGAUCUGGGCACUGUCUCAAUUACCCGCCCGGCGAAAUUGUAGUACCGGUGAAGAUGCCGGUUACCCGCGACAAGACGGAAAGACCCCAUGGAGCUUUACUGUAGCUUAAUAUUGGGUUUCGAUAAUUUAUGUAUAGGAUAGGCGGGAGACUAGGAAACCGUGGCGCCAGCCACGGCGGAGUCGACGUUGGAAUACCGCUCUUAAGUUAUUGGAAUUCUAACCUGCGGCCAUGAAUCUGGCCGGGGGACAUUGUUAGGUGGGCAGUUUGACUGGGGCGGUCGCCUCCAAAAAGGUAACGGAGGCGCUCAAAGGUUGGCUCAGCAUGGUUGGAAACCAUGCCUUAGAGUGUAAACGUGUAAGCCAGCCUAACUGCGAGGAUGACGGUCCGAGCAGUAACGAAAGUUGGAGUUAGUGAUCCGGCGGUAUGAGAGUGGAAUUGCCGUCGCUCAACGGAUAAAAGCUACCCUGGGGAUAACAGGCUGAUCUCCCCCAAGAGUCCACAUCGACGGGGAGGUUUGGCGCCUCGAUGUCGGCUCAUCACAUCCUGGGGCUGUAUUCGGUCCCAAGGGUUCGGCUGUUCGCCGAUUAAAGUGGUACGCGAGCUGGGUUCAGAACGUCGUGAGACAGUUCGGUCCCUAUCUGUCGUGGGCGCAGGAUAUUUGAGGAGAGCUGACCUUAGUACGAGAGGACCGGGAUGGACGCACCUCUGGCGCACCAGUUGUCACGCCAGUGGCACAGCUGGGCAACUAUGUGCGGAACGGAUAAACGCUGAAAGCAUCUAAGCGUGAAGCCGACUCCAAGAAUAGAUAUCCCAUAGCGUAAGCUAGUAAGACCCCUUGUAGACUACAAGGUUGAUAGGCUGCAUGUGUAAGCACGGUAACGUGUUCAGCUUGGCAGUACUAAUAGGUCGAGGGCUUGACC
Molecule: ribosomal RNA, 1613 nt
Filed under: metagenome
Description: bacterial LSU rRNA
Rfam family: Bacterial large subunit ribosomal RNA
Source: RNAcentral